UACCCUGUAGAUCCGAAUUUGUAUGAAAUUUCAUAAACAAAUUCGUAUUUGCGGCGUAAU
RNAcentral lists this microRNA precursor (60 nucleotides) under Magallana gigas (Pacific oyster). RNAcentral describes it as "Mgi-Mir-10-P1_pre stem-loop". Lineage: Eukaryota; Metazoa; Mollusca; Bivalvia; Ostreida; Ostreidae. The record is from RNAcentral.